This 148-nucleotide non-coding RNA is filed under the name Gorilla gorilla gorilla (western lowland gorilla). Lineage: Eukaryota; Metazoa; Chordata; Mammalia; Primates; Hominidae. The record is from Rfam by way of RNAcentral.
GCUGGGUGUGGUGGCGCACACCUGUAAUCUCAGCUACUUGGGAGGCUGAGGCAGGAGAAUCACUUGAACCCAGGAGGCAGAGGUUGCAAUGAACCGAGAUUGCGCCACUGCACUGCCGCCUGGGUGACAGAGUGAGACUGUGUCUCAA